Molecule: transfer RNA, 77 nt
Filed under: Deltaproteobacteria bacterium RIFCSPLOWO2_02_FULL_47_10
Lineage: Bacteria; Deltaproteobacteria
Description: tRNA-Val
Rfam family: tRNA
About the family: Transfer RNA (tRNA) molecules are approximately 80 nucleotides in length. Their secondary structure includes four short double-helical elements and three loops (D, anti-codon, and T loops).
Source: RNAcentral
GGGCUGUUAGCUCAGUUGGUUAGAGCGCUUGCUCGACAUGCAAGAGGCCACUGGUUCAAGUCCAGUACAGCCCACAA